Molecule: ribosomal RNA, 473 nt
Filed under: uncultured bacterium
Lineage: Bacteria
Description: SSU rRNA
Rfam family: Bacterial small subunit ribosomal RNA
Source: RNAcentral
AGGACGAACGCUGGCGGCGUGCUUAACACAUGCAAGUCGAGCGGUAAGGCCCUUUCGGGGGUACACGAGCGGCGAACGGGUGAGUAACACGUGGGUGACCUGCCCUUAGCUCUGGGAUAAGCCUGGGAAACUGGGUCUAAUACCGGAUAUGACCUCGCGAUGCAUGUCGUGGGGUGGAAAGCCUUGUGCGGCUAGGGAUGGGCCCGCGGCCUAUCAGCUUGUUGGUGGGGUGAUGGCCUACCAAGGCGACGACGGGUAGCCGGCCUGAGAGGGCGACCGGCCACACUGGGACUGAAACACGGUCCAGACUCCUACGGGAGGCAGCAGUGGGGAAUUUUGCGCAAGUGGGGGAAACCCUGACGCAGCAACGCCGCGUGGAGGAUGAAGUCCCUUGGGACGUAACUCCUUUCGAUCGGGACGAUAAUGACGGUACCGAGAGAAGAAGCCCCGGCUAACUUCGCGCCAGCAGCCGC